AAACCAAACACAUUUUGCCUCUCCUUUUUGUUAAAACCUGCAAGUGAUGGACUGAUAGCGUAGACUCAGCUAAAGACUGGUUACAUCAAAAAAGAAGAUGAAUAAAGAGAGGGUUGGACUUCGUUCAAGGCAACAACACCACACAAGCCCUGAAGUGAAGAACAAGCAACCGAGGAAAAUAGCCGGCGAAGGCCAACGGAAACGUACUCCGUACUCCAACGAAUGCCCCCACCACAGAUUUGGCAAGGCAACACGCAAAUUCAAACAAAAAGUAACACAAGCAUAUUCUUUGUGCGAGUAGUGAAAAUUCCAGACCUGCCACCUCACUGUACGUGCGGCCAGGCUCCGCCGCACGUGCGGUUCACCACAGCUCGAGCGGCCCACCUAGGAUUGCAUGCGCAGAAUUACAAGUUUGUUCUGUUGGGAAUAA
Camellia sinensis is the source of this 430-nucleotide non-coding RNA. The record is from RefSeq and is a predicted model, not a curated record. NCBI's taxonomy places the organism in Eukaryota, Viridiplantae, Streptophyta, Magnoliopsida, Ericales, Theaceae.